GGUGUGUUUUUUUAAAAUUAGUUUGAAGUUGCUAGACUAUUUCAUAUUUCAAAGUCUGACUGUAUUUCAUGUCCUUCUCCAACUUUUCAGAACCACAUAAUUAAAUGUAUGGGUUUUCAAGGUUGAAAAUAUUCUCCCAUUAGCGGAGUUCACCUUUACCAACCCUACAAAGCAGUUAACAGGAAGUACGUGAUUACGUAUUCGUUUAUCAGAUAAUGGGAAGGAUUGAGAGUGAUUUGCAUCUUCUGACUGACAGUACUGACUGCGUUAAGCCAGAAGCUAGCUAACUUCCUUGCCUGCUUGUCCAUGUGGUAGCUGUAGGCUGUUAUUUAUUGAAAUAGAAAUAAAUUGGAACAAAUAUCAAUAAUGUGCUAUCUGAUAAGUAUCUUGCACACUGCUGAAUCUAACCUUACGAAAUCAGGUUUGAUUUCCCUUACUAAACUUUUGGUCUGGAUACAAAUUCAUGGAUUUUCCCCCUCAGUGUUAGUAACCUCUAGUAUUCUACCAGAACACACAGAAUCUUCAUAUACUCAAACAACUUUCUAGCCCUGUUCCUUAGGGGAAGAUGAUGGGAAGCAAAUGUAUGUGAGGCAAGCAUGGUAACUGUUAACCAUAGAAACGGCCUGGUGGCUAACAUGGUAACUGUUAACCAUAGAAACAGCCUGGUGGCUAACAUGGUAACUGUUAACCAUAGAAACAGCCUGGUGGCUAACAUGGUAACUGUUAACCAUAGAAACGGCCUGGUGGCUAACAUGGUAACUGCUAACUGCAGAAAUGGCCUGAUGGUUCAGGAAAUUUAUGAAAGUUUCAAAGAAACUUGAAAAACUAAAAAAAAAAAAAAAAAAAAAAAAAAUGCACAUAUUUACACUCUAGUUGUUACUUAGAAAUUUGUUUUCAGCAUGCUUUCCCCAGACAUAUGUCUUCUUUAGAUAAUAUUACCACAUAAAUUAGAGAUGAAGACAAUUCUAAAACAGUGAUAUAAGAACACACUGCUGUAAUUAUGUAAAUAUACAAUUACCUGUCCAGAAGUGUCUCAUGUAAAAAUCCAUCUUUCCGAGCCUUUUUAAGAAUUUUACUAUCUUCUUUGCUUAUUUUGAGUUUGUGGUCCUGGAAGCUCUGAAAUUUCUUUCUGUAAAGAAAGAUCUCUCAU
RNAcentral lists this long non-coding RNA (1150 nucleotides) under Mus musculus (house mouse). RNAcentral describes it as "long non-coding RNA chr8:41397937-41399087". Lineage: Eukaryota; Metazoa; Chordata; Mammalia; Rodentia; Muridae. The record is from RNAcentral.